RNAcentral lists this ribosomal RNA (454 nucleotides) under uncultured bacterium. Its description in RNAcentral is "bacterial SSU rRNA". It matches the Rfam family "Bacterial small subunit ribosomal RNA", at positions 327 to 793 of the family's 1533-position model. The record is from RNAcentral.
ACUCGUAGACUCCUACGGGAGGCAGCAGUGGGGGAAUAUUGCACAAUGGGCGGAAGCCUGAUGCAGCAACGCCGCGUGCGGGAUGACGGCCUUCGGGUUGUAAACCGCUUUCGCCUGUGACGAAGCGUGAGUGCGGUAACUGGGUAAAGAGCACCGGCUAACUACGUGCCAGCAGCCGCGGUGAUACGUAGGGUGCGAGCGUUGUCCGGAUUUAUUGGGCGUAAAGGGCUCGUAGGUGGUUGAUCGCGUCGGAAGUGUAAUCUUGGGGCUUAACCCUGAGCGUGCUUUCGAUACGGGUUGACUUGAGGAAGGUAGGGGAGAAUGGAAUUCCUGGUGGAGCGGUGGAAUGCGCAGAUAUCAGGAGGAACACCAGUGGCGAAGGCGGUUCUCUGGGCCUUUCCUGACGCUGAGGAGCGAAAGCGUGGGGAGCGAACAGGCUUAGAUACCCUGGUAG